GCCGGUAUAGCUCAGUUGGUAGAGCACCUGACUUGUAAUCAGGGGGUCCCGAGUUCGACUCUUGGUGUCGGCACCA
This 76-nucleotide transfer RNA is filed under the name Neisseria gonorrhoeae. RNAcentral describes it as "tRNA-Thr(tgt)". It matches the Rfam family "tRNA". Rfam says of the family: Transfer RNA (tRNA) molecules are approximately 80 nucleotides in length. Lineage: Bacteria; Pseudomonadati; Pseudomonadota; Betaproteobacteria; Neisseriales; Neisseriaceae. RNAcentral also lists the same sequence under 4 other names. The record is from RNAcentral.